UGAACGAGAAGAACCUUACCUAGACUUGACAUCCUCUGCAUUACCCUUAAUCGGGGAAGUUCCUUCGGGAACAGAGUGACAGGUGGUGCAUGGUUGUCGUCAGCUCGUGUCGUGAGAUGUUGGGUUAAGUCCCGCAACGAGCGCAACCCCUAUUGUUAGUUGCUACCAUUAAGUUGAGCACUCUAGCGAGACUGCCUGGGUUAACCAGGAGGAAGGUGGGGAUGACGUCAAAUCAUCAUGCCCCUUAUGUCUAGGGCUACACACGUGCUACAAUGGCAAGUACAGAGAGAUGCAAUACCGCGAGGUGGAGCUAAACUUCAAAACUUGUCUCAGUUCGGAUUGUAGGCUGAAACUCGCCUACAUGAAGCUGGAGUUACUAGUAAUCG
This 386-nucleotide ribosomal RNA is filed under the name uncultured Clostridium sp. Its description in RNAcentral is "bacterial SSU rRNA". It matches the Rfam family "Bacterial small subunit ribosomal RNA", at positions 956 to 1344 of the family's 1533-position model. The record is from RNAcentral. Lineage: Bacteria; Bacillati; Bacillota; Clostridia; Eubacteriales; Clostridiaceae.